RNAcentral lists this ribosomal RNA (249 nucleotides) under uncultured bacterium. RNAcentral describes it as "partial 16S ribosomal RNA". It matches the Rfam family "Bacterial small subunit ribosomal RNA", at positions 57 to 305 of the family's 1533-position model. The record is from RNAcentral.
GCAAGUCGAGGGGUAACAUUGUGCUUGCACAGAUGACGACCGGCGCACGGGUGCGUAACGCGUAUAGAACCUACCUUUUACAGAGGGAUAGCCUUUAGAAAUGAAGAUUAAUAUCUCAUAGUAUUAGGAUGUGGCAUCACAUCCUACUUAAAGAUUUAUCGGUAAAAGAUGGCUAUGCGUCCUAUUAGCUAGAUGGUAAGGUAACGGCUUACCAUGGCGAUGAUAGGUAGGGGCCCUGAGAGGGGGAUC